RNAcentral lists this small RNA (945 nucleotides) under Pan troglodytes (chimpanzee). RNAcentral's name for it is "processed transcript". The record is from RNAcentral. Lineage: Eukaryota; Metazoa; Chordata; Mammalia; Primates; Hominidae.
UUGAUCCUUCAAAAAUCACAAGGAAGAAAAGUGUUAUAACUUAUUCUCCAACAACUGGAACUUGUCAAAUGAGUCUAUUUGCUUCUCCCACAAGUUCUGAAGAGCAAAAGCACAGAAAUGGACUAUCAAAUGAAAAGAGAAAAAAAUUGAAUCACCCCAGUUUAACUGAAAGCAAAGAAUCUACAACAAAAGACAAUGAUGAAUUCAUGAUGUUGCUAUCAAAAGUUGAGAAAUUGUCAGAAGAAAUCAUGGAGAUAAUGCAAAAUUUAAGUAGUAUACAGGCUUUGGAGGGCAGUAGAGAGCUUGAAAAUCUCAUUGGAAUCUCCUGUGCAUCACAUUUCUUAAAAAGAGAAAUGCAGAAAACCAAAGAACUAAUGACAAAAGUGAAUAAACAAAAACUGUUUGAAAAGAGUACAGGACUUCCUCACAAAGAUACUUCAAUUUUAAAAGCACUGAGGUUUGAAGUUUAGACAUGACGACUUUUAGGAGAAACAACAGAAAUUCCCCCUAUGCUUUAACAUUCUGGGUUUAUCUGGAGAUAAAAAAUGAAGCCAUUAAUUUUGAUAGCACAAAUAUACAUUAAUGUACAACUAUAGUCCUCAGCUCUUUAUAAUGAUUCAGCUAUCAUGUAUGCCAUAUGUGAAUCAUAACCUUUCCUAUUAAUAAUGUUAAUGCUCUUGUUUUACACGAUUCGUCAUUGUUUUGGGGUAUGCAUUUCAGCUGCUAAAAAUGCUUACUUGAGAUUUGUCUAGGAUUUAAGUAAAAAUAAACUGAUUUAUUACUUUUCAAAGCCUUUUAAAUAAUUUCUUUCAUGAUUUAAAUUUUUUAUACUUUAACAGAAGUAUGAUAAUUUUUCUUUCAAAUAAAAUCAGUAGAAAAAAUUUUAAACUAUAGAUUUGGACUCACUUAAUAGCAAUUAGGUGUUUAAGAGGUGUAAAUAACUUG